Long non-coding RNA from Priapulus caudatus, 318 nucleotides. RefSeq lists it as uncharacterized. The record is from RefSeq and is a predicted model, not a curated record. NCBI's taxonomy places the organism in Eukaryota, Metazoa, Priapulida, Priapulimorpha, Priapulimorphida, Priapulidae. The transcript has 3 exons.
CAAGGCGACCGUGCUCGUCUUCUGGACGCCCUGGUGUAGCGCGGCGCUGAAGCUGCUCGAACACGUGACCCGCAUGGCGAGGAAGUACAGCACCAAGUACUCGCCUUCAGUGGCUUGCGCUACGCGGAGAAAACCGACAGCCUGAGCACAGGGAGGCAUUUGUCUCAGCAGGUACGGUGCGCAGGCCCUGCUAGCAGGACACCAACCACGUCCACACUGAUGGACGUACUGCACAGUCCAGGCCAGGAUUAUGUGCGACCCACGGACGCCUACGACGUGGUGGGCGUGCCCACCGUCAUCCUCAUACACCCCAACGGU